This 497-nucleotide ribosomal RNA is filed under the name uncultured bacterium. RNAcentral describes it as "partial 16S ribosomal RNA". It matches the Rfam family "Bacterial small subunit ribosomal RNA", at positions 28 to 507 of the family's 1533-position model. The record is from RNAcentral.
GAUGAACGCUGGCGGCGUGCCUAAUACAUGCAAGUCGAGCGAACGGACGAGAAGCUUGCUUCUCUGAUGUUAGCGGCGGACGGGUGAGUAACACGUGGAUAACCUACCUAUAAGACUGGGAUAACUUCGGGAAACCGGAGCUAAUACCGUAUGAUAUUCUGAACCGCAUGGUUCAAAAGUGAAAGACGGUCUUGCUGUCACUUAUAGAUGGAUCCGCGCUGCAUUAGCUAGUUGGUAAGGUAACGGCUUACCAAGGCAACGAUGCAUAGCCGACCUGAGAGGGUGAUCGGCCACCCUGGAACUGAGACACGGGCCAGACUCCUGCGGGAGGCACCAGUAGGGAAUCUUCCGCAAUGGGCGAAAACAUGACGGAGCAACGCCGCGUGAGUGAUGAAAGUCUUCGGAUCGUAAAACUCUGUUAUUAGGGAAGAACAUAUGUGUAAGUAACUGUGCACAUCUUGACGGUAACUAAUCAGAAAGCCACGGCUAACUACGUG